GACUUUCUCGGGGUCAAAAAUUACGUCAAACAACGCUGAAAUUAUAAUCCACACCCCGAUUCAAACUUUUAGCUUUAAACAACGCAAAUCUCGUACCAAAACAUAUUAAAUGAAUUCAGAAUGACAUCAAAUUUGGCACACAAGUCAUAAAUGACAUAACGGAGCUGUUCAAAUUUUCAGAAUCGGAUUCUGGCUCCUAUAUCAAAAAGUCAACCCCGUGGUCAAACUUGAAAAUCUUUAGCUUUUAAAUUACUAGUUUCCGUUAAAUGGUCAUAACUUGAGCUAGAGACCUCCAAAAUAAAAUCUGGGCAUACGCCCAAAUCACGAUACGGAGCUUCCGAAACUGUCAAAACACUGAUAUGGGUCCAUUUGCUAAAAAUAUUGACCAAAGUCAACUCAUUUGAGUUUUAAAGCUCUAUUUCACAUUUUAAUUCAUUUAGCACAUGAAAACUUUCUGAAAAAUUUUACGAAUUGCGCACGCAAGUCGAGGGAUGAUAAAUAGUUUUUUUUAGAGGUCUUAGAACAUGUAAUUACUUAUUAAAUUUAAAGAUUGAUCCUUUCUUCGUUUUCUUUUCACGCAUAAUCCUUUCUUCAUUUUUUUUAAUUCUCUUCGAUUUACGAUUUAUAUCUUUAAUACAAAAUUACCCUUAAGUUGAAACUUUGUUUAGGGUCAGGGAAAAUAUAAGAUUUUUCUUAAACGUGCGGAAUUAUUAGAUCAAAACUUUAACAGAAGACAAAAUUGCUUAAUUUUGAAAUCUCAGUGAGCGCAGGUACCUAGUGAGUGCGAGUGCCGAGUGCCAAUUGCUGAGUGACUGGGAGGCAUGAGUGAUUCUGAGGUAUGCCCGAGUGGCAAGAGUGAUUGUGAGGUAUGCCCGAGUGACAAGAGUGAUUGUGAGGUAUGCCCGAGUAGUACGAGUGAUUUUGAGGUUUGCCCGAGGCGUUGUACAUGAGUGAUGUUUUGCCCGAGGGGCUGUUUAUGAUUUCAUCAUUUUUGCUCACCUUUGCAUUUAGUCUCUGUUUGAAAAUUGUUGAAAAAAGAAUAUCUUAAAUGAUUUUACUGGAACUGUGUUUAAACGAGAUAUUUUGAUUCAAAUCCUGAUUUUAAAAGUAUGUGGUAUUUUACUGAGAUUUUUUGAUGUGAACGUUAUAUGUUUUAUUGCUCGUCACUACUGCUCAGUCUUUAUUUAUUAUUAUUACUUACUGAGUUGGCGUACUCACGUUACUCCCUGCAUCUUGUGUGCAGAUCCAGGUGUAGCUGGACACGGUAGCGGUUGUUGAUUAUUCUGGUUACAAAUUUUUAUGGGGAUAGCAAGGUAGCUGCUUGGCGAUCGCAGCUCAUGUUCUUCUCCCUCUUUUUUUUUUAUUUGCACCGGGUGUCCAAGUCUCUUUAAGCCCCGACUAAUCCCGGGGGUGCACAGGCCCUCGGCAAGGAGUUUUUCGCAAGUGCACCACGGUUAAUUCAAGUUUUACCCAGUCCGAUAGCCCUUAAAAAUUGUUUGCACCCAGUGGAUUUCGAACUUGAGACCUUGAAAAGGAGCAAACCCCAAGGCUCAAGUCAAUUGCCACCAGGCCAACCCCUGAGGGUUUCAUGUUCUUCUCCCUCUUAUCUUCCUUUUGUUGUAUUUAGCUAUUUUCCAGGCUGAGUUAGCCUUGAUAUUGCUAGGCAGAUUGUGUUAUAUGCUCAUGACUAGUGACACCCCGAUGUCGGACUUUUUUUUUCCGUACUUUUGUUUUGGUUUGAACUCUGUUACGGAGGUUUUUAUGCUAAAUAGCCUUGAGUUUAUCUUUAAAAUGAAAAUAUCGAUUUGUUUUGGGAUGAGUCGGCUUGCGUAGUUCCAUGAUAGGCACCAUCACGACAGAUUAGGAAUUUAGGUCGUGACAGAAAUCAAUAAUGCCAUAGGAAGUGAUUUUAUUCUAUAAAGUUUCGAUCUUUGAAGAAAUCCCCAAAAGCCAACUCGGGUCUACGUACCCGAAAUCCGAAACCAAUACAAAAAUUCGAUGACCCCUGACCUGUCUAGUCCAAAAAUAUGAUUCAUUUAACCGUAUCCAAAUAAGUACUCAAAUCCCCAAAAUACACUUUCUUAAAGUGCAAGCAAAAAUCCCAAUUUUGUUUUUUAAAUUCCAUGUUUUAGGAGUAGAAAUCCUUAGGUAAUCAAGAUAUAAAGCCAAAUUCAAGUGACAACUGUUUACCUCCAUUGUAGUAGUUAAAUUGCUCUUCAAAAUCUUCUCUACUCGAAGUCUAAGGCUCAAAUUAUGGAAUAAUAGGCAAAGUCCCGAAAUUGGAAACUUAAGUACUUUUCCUAGGAGAACUCAUUGUCACACCUCCUUUUUCCGAGGAAUAGGAAAUUUUUCCGAUUAAAGUGACAUUAUUCGAAAUGAGAUUGUUUAUUUAAUUAGAGUCGCCGCUUGAAAUAAUUAUGAUGGUGUCCCAAGUCACCGGUUUGUGUUAAAAUCUCAAAUCGAGGAAAUUGACUCUGUUUAAAGUCCGCGAAUACAGAAGACCGGGUAAAGAAUUUCGUUAACCCGGGAUAAGAUGUGAGGCACUCCCGGAUUCCGUGGUUUUAGCACGAUCGCUUUAACCAUACCUGACUUAAUUGUUUAAUUACUUAUUUUAGAACCUAUGUGUAUUUUACCUUUUACCGCUUUUAAUUAUGGCGUUACGGAUUUAUCGUUGAAACGGAAUACGUGUGUGUAGAUCUGUUUUGUUUAGUGUGCUAAAAAAUUAUGUCAUGCGUACGUGUACACAAUUAAUAACACUUAUUAUUUUAAGAGAUUGUUUGGCCAAAAGUUUGCCGAACGCAUACUUUGGUUUUAAUUUUGGAAAUCGUAAUCAUGAUACGCGGACGUAUACAUAAUUACGGUAAUUUGAUUAAUUCAGAGUGCACCUAAAGCAUACUAUCGUUAUUCAUAAAUUGAUUAUUGUUCUAUGAUUUUAGAUGGAAAGUACAAGAAUUAUGGAAUUAUUGAUGGGAAAAUGUAAGAUUUAACUAUUUUGGAAUUAUUUAUAAUGAAACAAUCUUUGUUAGUUAAGAAGAUGGACUAAGUAGAAUUUUAUUGAUGCUGGGCCAUUAGAAUUAAAUUUGUUAGCCCAAAUGCUUCUCAAUUCUUAAAUGAGAAAAUAUCAUUUAUAUCCCCUCAAAAUAUUAAUAGCCCAUAUUUUUUCCCAUUGACAUGAAAUGUCCCUCCGGCCCAAACAUAUUACAUCUAAUAGCCCGAAAUCAUGUCUAUUUUGUAUAUGUUUUGUAUAGUGACUGUCUAUUUUGUAUAUUUUUUGUAUAGUGACAGUCUAUUUUGUAUAGUGAUAGUCUAUUUUGUAUAUAUUUUGUAUAGUGACAGUCUAUUUAGUAUAAUGUUUGUAUAGUGAUAGUCUAUUUUGUAUAGUAAUAGUCUAUUGUAUAUAAAUUGUAUAGUCACAACCUAUUUAGUAUAUAUUUUAUAUAGUGAUAGUCUAUUUUGUAUAUAUUUUGUAUAGUGACAGUCUAUUUAGUAUAUUUUUUAUAUAAUGACAGUCUAUUUUGUAUAUUGACAGUCUAUUGUAUUUAAAUUAUAUAGUGACAGUCUAUUUUGUAUCAUUUUUGUAUAGUGACAGUCUAUUGUAUAUAUUUUGUAUAGCGACAGUCUAUUUUGUAUAAUUAUAUGUAUAAAUAAAAAUUCAAGAGUUCAGAUCGUUAUGUUCCAUAAAUUUAUGGUUUUGUUUGUGGGGUUUUGUUUUCUCCUCUUUUCUUGGUGGCAGGGUGGUCGUAGGUGGGUGGCAGAUAUUGAGUAUUGAAUGUUUUACAAAUACCCAGGCGGCAAAAAAUAAUUACCCGCCCCUACCCACAAAUGUUUUUAAUACCCAUAAAGCCAAGACAAGUCAAGUUAAGCUAAGCAAAGUCAAGCCAAAUUAAAUCAAGUUAAGCUAAGCCAAGCGGGGCAGGUAGGUCAGGUAAUUAGUUUGAAUUAGGUAGGUAUAUAUUGUAACUAGUCUUUAAAGGGGUAGAAAGGGAUAAUUAUUUUAAACUCAAUGGGUAUUUUGCAUAAUUUUCUCUUGAUUGGACCGUUACUGUGAUUGUUAUCCUUACAGAAUUUGUUAAAUACGUUAGUUUGAUAGAAUUUAUCAAUUGCAAGAGUUUUAAUAUAGAAAAUGGCACAUUUAUCUUAUACUCAUAUUUAUCUACAUUACUAAAAAAUAAGUUAAAAGAAUUAUUACACAAAAAAUUAAAAUAAAUAAAGUAAACUUAAUAUUAAAAACUAGUAUAAGGGAUGUCAAUCUCUGAAAGCAUCAGUAAAUUGUAGAGCUGAGGUUCGAGACAACACAAUGGUUAAUAUAAUUUAUUUAUUUUUGACUACAAGUUGUAAUGUGCAAUUGUGAGCUAGGUGGAUGUUUAUAAUUUUUGACCGGCGGCUAACUUUGUCAAAAGCUCUUCCUAAAUCUAUACUACGUACCAAACAAUGAAGCAAGACUAAAAGCAAUGAAAAUUAUCUUGAAACCCAAAUUCCUUCACCAUUUUAAAUCAAAGCGCAGAUGCUAUAUUUCAAACCACCCAACGGCCCAAUUCUAAACUCAUUCCAUGUGGCCCGUUUUAUUAUCAUCAACUUAACUUAUGACAAUCCAAAACCCAAAUUGAAACUAAAACUAAAUCACCAAAAAGAAACAAGAUGGUGUUCACAAAUUAUCCAAGAAAAUAGAGGCUAAUGUUAAAAUCUAUUUAUCACAAACACCAAUUGAAACUUAGGUCAAAAGUAAGAACAUACCUCAAAAUUUAAUUCUUGCGGGCCUUAAAGAACGAAACCAGAAGGACCACGACACAAGACCUCAACGGCGACCUCGGACUCAACGAUGACCUCUGCUAGGAUAUGUAGAAAAAGGCUAUUUUGAGGUGUUUUCAAAUGUAGUUGGAGAGCGUUUUUUGGGUGAUCGUUGGCUGAUUUUCUGGGCGGUUGUUUUUCUGGUGUUUUGGGGAGUUCAGGGCUGCGUUUUCAUGCUAAAUCGAAGCUGCUUUAAUGGCUGUUUUUCAGCUUAGUUUUCACUGUGUUUUUGGUCAGAUUUUGGACUAUUUUUGAGCGGUUUCGGCAGCGGUUUUAAGCUGAUUUUUGCUGGCUUUUGGGAGCUAUUUUUGGGACUGUUUUGCGGCGAUUUUAACAGAGGAGAGGGGCUGGAUUUGAGCUCGUUUGUUUAGGUAAAACAGUGAUUCUUCGGGACUGUAUUCAGCUGAGUUUUAAUAGAGAAAAGAGGCUGGUUUCAUGAGUGUCUUGGAGCUGAGUUUCAUGGGUGCUUUGGGGCGGUUUUGGGUGGUGUUUUGGGGGUUAAAAGGAGCUAGAUUUUGGAGUUCUUACAAGGCUAAAACUAUGGAGGAAAAAUGGUGAUUGAGGAUGAGGAAGAAGAGAAGAAGAAAGAGAUGUAGUUGCCUCCCUUUUUUUUCAAUUUGUCUCUUCCCC
This 5418-nucleotide long non-coding RNA is filed under the name Nicotiana tabacum (common tobacco). RNAcentral describes it as "long non-coding RNA (NTAB_LNC003494)". The record is from RNAcentral. Lineage: Eukaryota; Viridiplantae; Streptophyta; Magnoliopsida; Solanales; Solanaceae.